RNAcentral lists this ribosomal RNA (152 nucleotides) under Paenibacillus polymyxa. Its description in RNAcentral is "partial 16S ribosomal RNA". It matches the Rfam family "Bacterial small subunit ribosomal RNA", at positions 1 to 145 of the family's 1533-position model. The record is from RNAcentral. Lineage: Bacteria; Bacillati; Bacillota; Bacilli; Caryophanales; Paenibacillaceae.
UUAAUGGAGAGUUUGAUCCUGGCUCAGGACGAACGCUGGCGGCGUGCCUAAUACAUGCAAGUCGAGCGGGGUCAGUUAGAAGCUUGCUUCUAACUGACCUAGCGGCGGACGGGUGAGUAACACGUAGGCAACCUGCCCACAAGACAGGGAUA